This is a long non-coding RNA of Pezoporus occidentalis (night parrot), 7583 nucleotides long. RefSeq lists it as uncharacterized. The record is from RefSeq and is a predicted model, not a curated record. NCBI's taxonomy places the organism in Eukaryota, Metazoa, Chordata, Aves, Psittaciformes, Psittacidae. The transcript has 2 exons.
CUUGGUUUCAGCACAAAGUAAUGGAAAAGGGCAACAACUCCAGACUCACUGAGAUGACGUACUUGACAGGAAAUCAUUAGGUAGGUAAAAAAAAGUGUGAAACAAGCCUGUGAUAAAAGCUAUUUUCAGAUUUCAGUAUGACAUUAGUAGAAUAAAAUAUAUAUUCUAUUAUAUAAUAUUCACUUUUUGUUACAUAAUAUACACAUAGGAAUUCUUUCUGUCACUCUGAAGCAAUUGGGUUAUUAUAUGAUAGUUUUCUGUUUCUUCUAUAUGAAGAAAUAGGAAAAUAUGAUAGUUUUCCAUUUAAUAAUAAAGGCUAUAAUAAAGUAGCCAGAAAGUGUAGCGACAUCUAGGGAAAGCUUGGCAGAAGUGCCUCCAUGCUAAAGCAUCUGUAACUCCAUUUUUUGCUUUAUGGGUUGGCAUUUGACAGCUAUACUCCGUGCAAAAAGAAUAAUGUCUUGAGCAACAUAACCUCUUUAGAAGCAAGCAUAAUGAAUAUGAGAACAUGAUCUUUAUUUUAAGGUUUUAGAAUGAUCCCCGUAGGAGUUUGGAGGGCUGAUAGUAUUGAAAAUCUGCUUUUGACUAAAUUUGCAAGUUAGAUCUGUGUGAAUUUUAAGCAGGAGAUGGGUUCUUGCUUAAAUCCAAUCUGCUCUUCAAAAGCCAGUCAACAUCUCUAACUGAAAACGUAACCAUUUUUUUUUCCUGUGAAGGUAAUGUCCCCAGGGAAAGUUUGUUUGGUGUGACUUGAUUGGAAGGAAUGACAAGAGUAAAAAGGAAUAUGGCAUGUGAAUAGGGUGCUAUACCAGGCCCUUUGUUGGGAGGGGAACAGAGGUUCCUAUUCCUCCAGGCAGAUGUCUGACUAAUAACAGUGAUUAAAAAAGAGACAAAAGUUCAUGAUCUGGACAUUACAAAGCCAGGAAAGAAUUUCCUAGUUCUUAUCAGGAGGAGCCUGGAUGAAAUCUUCACUUUAAAGCCAUAUCAGGUUUUUAUCAAGAAGAUACAGCUCAGAGUUUAAGUGUAAACUUGCAGUAAUCCACUGCAGAAGAGCUGUGUGGGUGUAUAAAAUUGAUUUGAAAAGGAAUGAAGAGGUGUGAAUUGCUACUUUUUAAAGAUAAAAACUUAGUGCACAGGUAGGUCAUGUGUACUAAGCACAUGAAAACAAGUCUUCAUCAUUCUCUCUUUAUUAUGCAUAUUUUUGUAAAUGUUUUCUUUGGUCACUUCUAGCCUUUCUAUUAUUAAAUCUUUGCAUAUUAGAUUUUUAUUGAUAUAAAAACGUUAAGAGAUGUAAUAAUACAGAUAUAUGAAGCGAUUUAAUAUUAAAAAGAUUUUCAAUGAGCAUUUGAAAGCAAGACUUGAUGUGUUAUGUUGCUACAAAAUUCAAUAUAUGCAGUUGAACUCUGAGCACUUGCGUUUAUAAUAUAUGAAGGGGUUCUCUUAAAACCAUGUCUUCAUUAUGUCAUUUGAAUUCCAACUCUGGUAUGUAAUUUUAGCUUAGUACUUUCUAUCUGAUUUUCAGCAGUGUAGGUUUUUGCAGCUAGGUGGGUUAUGCUUUGAGCGAAUUCUUUUUAAUCAAAAGGAAGAAAGCUUUUGCUUUACCUCUUUAUAAACUCACCAGAGCCACUCCUUCAUACCAGAGUUCAUGUUUUAUUGACCAGACAGUGUUUUGUCUUGCAAUUAACUUCUGCAAGGAUACAGUGCUGUAGAAGCUAUUAAAGAACAAUACUGUUGUUACUGUAAUAUUUACCAGCAUAAUUAUUUAAAGUAUAUGUUUCAUUACUUACGUUUUCAUGUCUGUGUGGUACAUGUAUCAGCCUGUUCCAUUACUCUGCACCUGUACUGUCUCUGCCUUCUGCCCACUCCUCUUCUAGCCCUGUACCUUUCUCCAGAGCUAUGUUGGUGCCACAUUCCCAUGACCCCACUGCUGCUUCCAUUAGUCACCACCAUAGGAACCAUGUUCCCAGGGACAGAUCCUGGUCCCUAUGCAAAAACAGACCAGCAAGAUAAGAAGGAAAAGCCCCUGCAUCACCAACCAGCUUGAAAUUCUUCCAAGCCUUGUCCAAAAGGGUCAAUAAUUCUUGUAGUAAGACACUUUUUCUGGUAUUAAUGUCAUGAACAUUUUAAAAUGGCAUCAGCCAUUAAUUACUAUCACAACUUUUAACUCUCUGUUUCUGUUUCAAAUUUUCCCCAGUUCAAUCAGAACCAAAAGUUAAUGCCCAUUGGCUAAUUUCCAGUGCAUGCCUCCACAGAACAACUGUUGCCUUUAACUGGUGGAGAGAUCAAGGCUUGAACUGACAAAAGACAUCUGUAUCUUAGAAAACAAAUUAAUGUUUAUGUUUUAAUUUAUAAGUUCCUGGCUCUUUUACGGUUCCUGUUUUUCAAGUAACGUCUCUUUGGAUUCCUAGCUGAUGGAGAGUCAAAAUGGAAAAGGCCCAUGAGAGAAUUAUCACAAUACAACAUCUGGUCUGCAUUGGAAAGAGCAGAGAAAGAUAUUCAACAUCUUGGAGACCAAGAGGCAGCUGUGAGGCACUUUCAAAGUCUGUGAAAAAUCGUGCAGGUUGUGGCCACCUGGGCCAAUAUAGUAUUGUUUUGGGAUGAGCUACUCUGCUUUCUAGAAUCUGGAUUUUAAUCUCACUUCAGUACAGAUACAUGAGAGCUGGGAGUGGUAUGAAAGGUGUUUGCUUUUCAUAAUGUUAAUCUGAAUCCCAGCAUUGUCCUAAUUAUAUUGUGGGGUUUUGCCAGUCUCCCAAUUUUCUUUUCAGCGUGUUAGCUAGGAGUCAAAAGGCUUUCUCAGGGCUUUUGGCAUAGCUUUAUAGGAAAAAAGGAUGGAAAGGACUUUGUGUAUUUUUGGAAGAAUAUUUUGCAUCCUGCUUUAAACUGUUCCAGAAGGUUAAAGGACAUUAGCUACACUGCAUAUUGGCUAGGGUACUGGUAUGUCAUUAACGGCAAGUUUUGCUUUGUCUAAUUGUUCAGGUUUCUUCAGUCACAGACUAUGAGAAAUGCAAAGAAAUCAUGGAGCAGCCCAGGCAGUAAGGUUACCACUGGAUUCAGAGGGAACAAAGUCCUUCCACCACAUGAAACUUUGGUCCUUUAAGUCAUCAUAGCUCAUGCAGAACAUAAACAAUUUGACAUGUAUAACAAGAAACACUGCAAAUUGUUUUCCAAACAGGCAUAUACUGCAGAUGGAAGAACUGAUGAAAAUUGUUUAUAAAUGAGGAACUAAAUGUAGAUUUUUCGAGAACAAGGUUGCUCUCUUCCUUGCCAAGACAAACAAAUCUGAUAGAACAUCUCAUUGCUUUAGGCUGCCUGAGGACCCACUGGAAAGUCUAUGGACCUUUCUCCACAGUAAAUUUGUGUGUUGUCAGUACAUAAGCGUAUUGUCCACAGUUGCACUGUGGCAGCUGCAGAGGAAGUGGAAGGUUCUCAAGGAAUACAUGAGGGAGAACUAGAUUUUUGGCUCCUAACACAGUAUGGAGUGCUUUUGGAAGCUGUGGAAGUUUAUGAGCUGAAUGUUACUGCUACAAAAGGUUAUCUGUGAGUUAAGCAUAAUGGUAAUUAAUCUGCUAUCUGUAGAUCUUGACACUGACAACAUGAUGAAAUUGAGAAUUCCUGUUCUUUAGAAUUGCAGUUUUCCAAAAUGCCUUCAUUCCUAUAAUGACAGGAUUGUUAGAGGUUUUCAGUGCACAGAUGUUUUUACAAGGCAGUAUAUAGUCAUCCCAAACAACUGUUUUUAAUGGGACAGUUAUUUAAAAAAGCAUGUAACGAGAGCAUAAAUACAGUCCCUGAUACUAACAUAAAACAUGUAUUAGCAAAAUAAUAUAGUUUUAUUUCCCUCAUACGUAGCAGGCCCUGGAAAUAUAAAACUAAUCAUGUCCUUAAAAUACUGUUAUAGCUGUAAACAUCUGGAAAAGAGGACCAGCAGCAUCCUCAGCUGCAUUAGGAAAAACAUUGCCAGCAGGUCAAAGGAGGUGAAUGUUCUCCUUUACUCAGCACUUGUGAGACUUCAGCAGGAGUAAUGUGUCCACUUUUGGGCUCCCCCCAGCAAGGAGGACAUGGACAUACUGGAGUGACUGCAGGUAAGGGCCAUGGAGGUGAUUAAGAGACAAGAGCAUCUGUGAUAUGGUUGCCCAAAGAGGCUGUGGAGCUGGCAUCCUUAAAGAUACUCAAAACUCAAUUGGGCAAGCUCCUAAGCAGCCUUAUUUGGGUGAUUCUGCUUUGAGCUGGGGGUUGAACUGGAUGGUCUCCAGACGUGCUUCCAUCCUCAGUGGUACUGUGAAUAUUUGAAGCAGUUUGCUUAUGUCUGGUCAGCAUUUUAGCUGGAACUUGACUGCGUAGGAAUCCUAAAGAAAGCAAAGUCUGUAACCCUAGAAAUACAUCCAGAUGGCUGAGGCCCAGAAAAGGCAUAAUGAGAGCUGCUAAGUAUUUUGAAUGUCUCAUCAGAGUGAUAUUUCACUUAAAAAUACAAAUAUAGAAAUGACUUGGGUCUUCUUAUCAAUGACAUUGAAUACCCAGUGAUCUCUAGUAUGAUCUCUUGUUUCAGCUGGACUGUAAAGGGUAACAGCUUCUCUCUAUUUUAGUUUAAUCUUGCUCUGGAAAAUCUUACCAUAUACCUUAUUUUAUAAAUGAAUACUUGAUGCUUUAUGGUGCAGAAUUAAUUUGUUAGUUUGUUACAUGCUUUCUUUCCUUAUUAGUACUGAUAUUAAAAUAUUGCAAUGUGUUUUGACGUAUUACUUCAGUAAUAGGCACAUACUAUGUGUCAAGGACUUGAGAAUGUCAUCAUUUGAUCAAGGUAAAAUCAAAAUAUAUAAUUACAUUGCAUAUUCUAUGGCACUUAGUGUCUAACUAUUCUUACAGCACCUUCAGACAACAAAGAUUAAAUUCAGAAAUGGCUUUCAUAUUUUCAUGACACAAGUUUUAUAUAGCAAGGCAAAACAAUGUAUUUUUUUAGGUCAGCUGAAUAGUGAUGGGUAGAUUUACCUUUGGUUUUCAUCAUGAAAAUGCCAAGGAACUAACUUGCAGUGUUGAGAAUUCCCAGGUCCUCCUUUUGAAAACUCUUUGUCUUUUGUGUUGCCUCUAGGAAAAAGGGAAAACAUUCUGGAAAACAAGAAAUGAAGGAAUGUUGUACAGUGAAUUAAGAAAUAAAUAGAUUAUAGAGCACUUAAUUCUAGUUUUCUGCACUCCAGAAAAUGAAACACUAAGAAAUAACCUGUUUCUUUAUUAUCAAUAUAUGGAGUCACACUGGGUUUGGCAGACAAGGACAGAAGCUUAUGAAUAACACCUGUGAUAAUUAUUAGAAGACCAUAAAUUUUGCGGUGGCUGAACUCAUCCUAAAAUCACAAAAUUAAGUCUUCAGACAUAAGUAACAUACGAAGGUCAAAUACACUUAGUCAUAAGUUGCUAUCAUCUGCCAUCACUUUUCCAUGACUUAGUGCUCUUACAGCAAAUCUCCUCUGAUUGCAGUAGACUCUGCGUGGGAUGGGGGUUUUGGUGGGGAGAGUGUUACUUUAAAUUGACACCUCUAGCAGCAGUUCCUAUUUCUAAUGUUUUCCUUUUAUACAUUUAUAGCCUAUUAUAUCUAUCCAAGCCUGGCAUAGCUCCAAGUCACCCAUUUCUCAGUAAUACAGGAAAUUAAAUCUAAAGUCUAAUAAGCACGGAGGCUUAUGCAACCUUCAUUCGCUGAAAAAAGUAUUAUGUAACUUAAUAAUAUUACCUUGUCUUUUGAUGGCUAGAGAGUUGUGCACUUUGUUUCUCUGUAGACCAAAUAGGUUCUGCAUUUGGACUACAGGAGGCUGGGUUGAUCCAGCAUUUUCUGCAAGCUUUCUGAAUGUCACCUCAAUAUUACUCUCUUGUUGAAGGACUCCCUGAAACUUCCAUGUCUACGGUUUGGCGCCCUUCUUCCACUACUCCCUGUGGUAGGAACCCAAUCUGUUCCCUGGUGCAAGGCCUGUGUACCCUGUAUUCUUACCCCAGGGGUGCUGAGUGCUCUCAUUCUUCCCCCCGGGAUUUUCUCCAGCCUGACCAGAUUUCUGCCUAUUCUAUCCCAUUUUCUAUUAAUACCCCCUGCGGUUCUGUGUUGGUGGGUGCAGCAUUUGAAAGUGCAGAAAUCUGGCUUGAGACCACACAGAUUAGCACCAUAAUUUCAGGGUCUUGUCUCCUGCAUGUAUCGGUUUAUUAAGUGGAUUUAUACUGAAUAAUUUUAAACUGUUGCAGCCUUCUGAAACUGUUUCUGUAACACACAGAGUGAUAUAAGGUCGCCGGUGGUGUGGAAAUUGGUUUUGCAGCUGAUAUGUUAAUUCAGCAAGAGAUGAGUUCUUGCAGAACACGAAGAAAAUGAUUUUAAUAUAGUGCCAUGCUACUUCAUUGGCUUUCAGGAAAGAGCUAAUUAAAACAUUCAAGGGAGAUUCAGGUCUCUGGAGAAAGUACCAUUAUGGAAAUACAAGGUUAUUUUUACUGCACAGCUUAUUAGCUGCUUUUCUAAAAGCAAAUCAACUGAAUGUGGUGGACUCAAAAUAACAUUUUCACCUGCUCAGGAAGAUGAGAGAUAAGGUACUUCUGUAAACUGAGUUCAAUAUAAGACUUGUCACAGUCUCUCCUGUGUCACUCACCCCAGGUUUACAGUAACCACUGCUGCAGUUUUCUGGAUGACAGCUUUCAUCCAAAUACAUCCAGGGCCCUUAAUAUGGCUCUACUAGUGCAACUAAUUGCAAUGAGGAGCAGAAUUACAUUCAUGAUGCCUAAGGAGAAGGAGAAUCUCUGCACUCAGUAUGAAUAAGGGGUAGCAAAGGCCUAAUUUUUCAGAAAUAAUUAAAUUGAAAAUAAUUUUAAUAGCCAAUCCCAAAGAAAAAUCACCAGGAAUUUAGAAGCCCUGUAUUUUUUCCAAACAGUGCGCUUAUACCAGGGAAUUACUGAGCACCAAAAGUAAAAUAACUGUAAUAUUUACUGUAUGAAGAUACGAAAGGAAAACAAUUUUACCAGCAUAAACUGCUUCAUCUUUUUGAGAAGAAGAAUGAACAAAAUAAAAUUGAGUUUCUAAGAAACAAUUCUAAAAAAUCUCUAUUAUAAAAAUUGUAUUAGAUUUUACAAGGUAUUUUAAUAUUGAGAUAAUAACGGAGAAAAUGGCAUUUUACUCUAUGUUCUUUCAUAAAACAGGUACGAUAGUGCUAUUCCCAGGGAAAAGACACCAGUUCCAACAAGAGUAGUGUCUGUUCUAGAAUUAAGGAUAACGUCUCAAAAUAUCUACAUAAACAAGAAGGUUAAAAAGCUUAAUGUGAAAAUAACAAUCUCUUCUUGAACAGCAUCUACUGUGUCCAGCCUAUUCUGUUUCAGAUGGCCCAGGAGCACAAACAGGUAUGACAUCAUAUCAUUUUACAUCAUUAAUGGAAGUGUUUCCUUUCAAAACUACAAUGUUAUUUUCUGCCCAAGCUUUCUUUCAUUAAUUCCAAAGUUAUUUUGACCCAACCAUCUCUAUGUAUGUUUAGCUAUGUUACCUAAACACGGUUUUCCAGUACUUUCUAGUAUGGACUUUAUACUGAACAAUUUGUUUAAUUGCAUUACAUGACAUUUUAAUAAACUAACUUUCUAAAAAU